UACGGAGUGUGCAAGCGUUGUUCGGAAUUACUGGGCGUAAAGCGCGCGCAGGCGGCUUGGCAAGUCAGGUGUGAAAUGCCCCGGCUCAACUGGGGAAGUGCGCUUGAAACUACCUUGCUAGAGUACGGGAGGGGGGAGCGGAAUUCCCAGUGUAGAGGUGAAAUUCGUAGAUAUUGGGAGGAACACCAGUGGCGAAGGCGGCUCCCUGGACCGAUACUGACGCUGAGGCGCGAAAGCGUGGGGAG
RNAcentral lists this ribosomal RNA (245 nucleotides) under uncultured bacterium. RNAcentral describes it as "partial 16S ribosomal RNA". It matches the Rfam family "Bacterial small subunit ribosomal RNA", at positions 524 to 768 of the family's 1533-position model. The record is from RNAcentral.